Molecule: long non-coding RNA, 2055 nt
Filed under: Homo sapiens (human)
Lineage: Eukaryota; Metazoa; Chordata; Mammalia; Primates; Hominidae
Description: negative regulator of interferon response
Source: RNAcentral
CAUUUCUACCUUUCCUCUUGAGAUUUGCUGUUAGAUAUUAGAACUUCUCUUUGUCACAUACUUACAGGGAGAUUUUGAUUAUCCAUGGGAUUCCAUUCAUAACCUCAUAAACCACCCCCACGAAGAAAUUAUAUAUCUCGGAGCAAUUAUAUAGUAUCUUAAAAGUGUUUGGACACGUGGAUCAUUUUGGAACAUACACCAAGAAAAUAAUCAGUGGUACACAUAAAAAGGUGACAUGGUUUUCUGGUGCCUUGGCAACUGCUCACGAUGCAUGGGAAGACUAAACACUUUGUGUACAGCAUUCUGUCUCAUCCAGUGAAGACUUCCUCUGGAUUAUUGCAGCAGACACCUCUAACCUCCUUAAUCUGUAUGAGAGCACCCACGCUUCCUCCAACUCCUGCCGCAGAGCUGCGUUUCCUCAGUACUGCUGUCCGCUUCCAGCCCCGCUCCGACGCAUCUGACGUCAUUUCCUCGUCUUGUCUCUGGACCUGGUUCUCCCAAGGCCUCAGUCCCUGUGUCCAUGGUCCCUCUGUUCCUGGGCUCCCUGGAGUCCAUUGGGAAUCCGAGUCCUCGCCUUCCCAUCAUCUGCCUCUGGAAUGACCCUUGGGUUUGUCUUUCGCUCUCUCUCCGUUCUGCCACCUUCCCGGUGCUUUAAUCAGGCAUCAGUCUUGUAGCUGUAGCCAGGACCCACCAAGCCACUCCAUUCUCUUCUCAGCUCCCGGAGUGUGAUGGUUAAUAUUGACUGUCAGCUUGAUGAAAUUGAAGGAUGCAAAGUAUUGUUCCUGGUGUGACUGUGAGGGUGUUGCCAAAGGAGAUUCACAUUUGAGUCAGUGGGCUGGGAGAGGCAGACCCACCCUCAAUCUGGGUGGGCACCAUCUAAUCAGCUGCCAGCAUGGCUGGAAUAAAAGCAGGCAGAAGAACAUGGAAAGACUAGACUGGCUUAGUCUUUUGGCCUCCAUCUUUCUCCCGUGGCUUCCGUGCUCCUCAGCUUGCAGAUGACCUGCUGUGGGACCUCAUCUUGUGAUCGUGUGAGUCAAUUCUCCUUAAUAAACUCCCCUUUAUACAUAAAUCUAUCCUAUUAGUUCUGUCCCUCUAGAGAACCCUGACUAGUACACAGAGCAAUCCUGGAAAUAGCCUCACUGCCUCACCACUCCCCCUGGGAGACUUUUCUUUACUUCCCUCUUUGACUUGCACUCUCCCCACUGGGCCAAGCAGGCUUCCCACUACCGGGGCUCCUGUGCUACCCCAGGGACACUCAGGGUCUCACCCCUUAAGCCCGUGCCUCUCAUUGUCCCUGCUCAUCCCCACCUGGGCUGCCCAGCUUCUCCCACUCCUGCCUCGUGUUCUUUCAAAUCCCUGAUCAAGUUUGGCUUCUGAAAUGGACCCUUCUUCAGUCCCCUGGGCCCACUCAGCCUUCCUUCCUCCCGGUGUUCAGGGGACUGAAUUAGCCACAGUUUAACCUUUUGUUGGCCUUUGUUUCACAUCUAUUCAUUAUUUUAGAAAUGUUGUGUUGUCGUGUGAAAUAAUGCAUCUACAGGCUAAAAAUUAAAAGACAGUGUAAAAAAUAUGCGGUGAAAAGUGAGUCUCCCUCUGCCUGAACAUCCAGUGCCCAUUCCCGGGGCUGACAUGCACUGUUCCUUAUGUGCCCUUACAGAAAAUGGCCAUGUGUGAAGUCACUAUGCAUAUUCUAUUUUUAGUUUGUUACUAAAGCACACAGCAGCUUACAAUGCAAUUUUUUUCUAUACCUUGUUUUUCUCUCUAGAAUAUUAAAAUAUUGCUUGGAAAAUAUACAUACUUUGGAAUUAUUUUCACAUGAACAUAUAGCUACUUCACCUGUUUUCACAUCUGUGCAGCAUUUCAUUGUAUAGAUCAAUCUGAAUUUAUUGAGUGGAUUAUUGACUGUUGUUUCCAGUUAUUAGCUAGAAUCAUCAGUGCCUCCAAUGAACACCAGCAUGUGUGUAUGUGUGCCUAUAUGUGUGCAUACAUGUAUUUGUGUAUCCCUAUGAGAAUAUCUGUAGGAUAAAUGCAUUAUAAAGUAACCACUGAGUCAAAGAA